Macaca mulatta (Rhesus monkey) is the source of this 147-nucleotide unclassified non-coding RNA. It matches the Rfam family "Metazoan signal recognition particle RNA". Rfam says of the family: The signal recognition particle (SRP) is a universally conserved ribonucleoprotein. The record is from Ensembl. Lineage: Eukaryota; Metazoa; Chordata; Mammalia; Primates; Cercopithecidae.
GCUGGGCGUGGUGGCGGGCGCCUGUAAUCCCAGCUACUUGGGAGGCUGAGGCAGAGAAUUACUUGAACCCAGGAAGCGGAGGCUGCAGUGAGCUGAGAUCACACCACUGCCCUCCAGCCUGGGCUACAAAGUGAGACUCCGUCUCAA